Bos taurus (domestic cattle) is the source of this 73-nucleotide non-coding RNA. The record is from Rfam. Lineage: Eukaryota; Metazoa; Chordata; Mammalia; Artiodactyla; Bovidae.
UCUCUGGUGGUCCAGUGGUUAAGACUCUGCACUUCCAAAGCAGGGGCCACGGGUUCCAUCCCUGGCUGGGGAA